GUGCCGGCAGCCGCGGUAAUACGGGGGGUGCAAGCGUUAAUCAGAAUUACUGGGCGUAAAGAGCUCGUAGGCGGUUUUUUAAGUCAGAUGUGAAAUCCCUGGGCUUAACCUAGGAACUGCAUUUGAAACUGAAAAACUAGAGUAUCGUAGAGGGAGGUAGAAUUCUAGGUGUAGCGGUGAAAUGCGUAGAUAUCUGGAGGAAUACCUGUGGCGAAAGCGGCCUCCUAGACGAAUACUGACGCUGAGGUGCGAAAGCGUGGGGAGCAAACAGGAUUAGAUACCCUUGUAGUCC
Molecule: ribosomal RNA, 292 nt
Filed under: Buchnera endosymbiont of Lasius sp.
Lineage: Bacteria; Pseudomonadati; Pseudomonadota; Gammaproteobacteria; Enterobacterales; Erwiniaceae
Description: partial 16S ribosomal RNA
Rfam family: Bacterial small subunit ribosomal RNA
Source: RNAcentral